UGGAGACAUAGUGGAGGUUAGUCAAGGAGACAGGUGGUGCGAUGGUUGUCGUCAGCUCGUGUCGUGAGAUGUUGGGUUAAGUCCCGCAACGAGCGCAACCCUUAUUGCUAGUUACCAUCAUUAAGUUGGGGACUCUAGCGAGGCUGCCGGUGACAAACCGGAGGAAGGUGGGGAUGACGUCAAGUCCUCAUGGCCCUUAUAGGUGGGGCUACACACGUCAUACAAUGGCCGGUACAAAGGGCAGCCAACCCGCGAGGGGGAGCCAAUCCCAUAAAGCCGGUCGUAGUCCGGAUCGCAGUCUGCAACUCGACUGCGUGAAGUCGGAAUCGCUAGUAAUCGUGGAUCAGCAUGUCACGGUGAAUACGUUCCCGGGUCUU
Molecule: ribosomal RNA, 377 nt
Filed under: uncultured Lampropedia sp.
Lineage: Bacteria; Pseudomonadati; Pseudomonadota; Betaproteobacteria; Burkholderiales; Comamonadaceae
Description: bacterial SSU rRNA
Rfam family: Bacterial small subunit ribosomal RNA
Source: RNAcentral